UUUUAUUUGAGAGUUUGAUCCUGGCUCAGGAUGAACGCUGGCGGCGUGCCUAACACAUGCAAGUUGAGCGAUUUACUUCGGUAAAGAGCGGCGGACGGGUGAGUAACGCGUGGGUAACCUACCCUGUACACACGGAUAACAUACCGAAAGGUAUGCUAAUACGGGAUAAUAUAUUUGAGAGGCAUCUCUUGAAUAUCAAAGGUGAGCCAGUACAGGAUGGACCCGCGUCUGAUUAGCUAGUUGGUAAGGUAACGGCUUACCAAGGCGACGAUCAGUAGCCGACCUGAGAGGGUGAUCGGCCACAUUGGAACUGAGACACGGUCCAAACUCCUACGGGAGGCAGCAGUGGGGAAUAUUGCACAAUGGGCGAAAGCCUGAUGCAGCAACGCCGCGUGAGUGAUGAAGGCCUUCGGGUCGUAAAACUCUGUCCUCAAGGAAGAUAAUGACGGUACUUGAGGAGGAAGCCCCGGCUAACUACGUG
Molecule: ribosomal RNA, 481 nt
Filed under: Clostridioides difficile
Lineage: Bacteria; Bacillati; Bacillota; Clostridia; Peptostreptococcales; Peptostreptococcaceae
Description: bacterial SSU rRNA
Rfam family: Bacterial small subunit ribosomal RNA
Source: RNAcentral